GACGAACGCUGGCGGCGUGCCUAAUACAUGCAAGUAGAACGCACAGUUUAUACCGUAGCUUGCUACAACAUAGACUGUGAGAUGCGAACGGGUGAGUAACGCGUAGGUAACCUGCCUGGUAGCGGGGGAUAACUAUUGGAAACGAUAGCUAAUACCGCAUAAUAUUGAUUAUUGCAUGAUAAUUGAUUGAAAGAUGCUAUUGCAUCACUACCAGAUGGACCUGCGUUGUAUUAGCUAGUAGGUGAGGUAACGGCUCACCUAGGCGACGAUACAUAGCCGACCUGAGAGGGUGAUCGGCCACACUGGGACUGAGACACGGCCCAGACUCCUACGGGAGGCAGCAGUAGGGAAUCUUCGGCAAUGGACGAAAGUCUGACCGAGCAACGCCGCGUGAGUGAAGAAGGUUUUCGGAUCGUAAAGCUCUGUUGUAAGAGAAGAACGGGUGUGAGAGUGGAAAGUUCACACUAUGACGGUAUCUUACCAGAAAGGGACGGCUAACUACGUG
This 505-nucleotide ribosomal RNA is filed under the name uncultured bacterium. RNAcentral describes it as "partial 16S ribosomal RNA". It matches the Rfam family "Bacterial small subunit ribosomal RNA", at positions 28 to 507 of the family's 1533-position model. The record is from RNAcentral.